Long non-coding RNA from Eptesicus fuscus (big brown bat), 736 nucleotides. RefSeq lists it as uncharacterized. Lineage: Eukaryota; Metazoa; Chordata; Mammalia; Chiroptera; Vespertilionidae. The record is from RefSeq and is a predicted model, not a curated record. The transcript has 3 exons.
CUGUUACGUCACCCGCGUGCAGGGGCGGUACUUCCGGUGCACUCUGGGCGGCUAUUGGUCUUCACCCAGAAUCUACUCCAGUACCGGGUGGAAGGCUCCGGCGGGCGGCGGCAGAGCCAGGUGCUCGGAGGGAGAAGGCCGAGUCCUUGCCCGCUCAGCUCGCACGUGGGAGUGAAGUUCGCUGAGGCCACCGGGUUCCCCACGUCCCUGACGGAACAGAGACCCUUUACUGCCCCUCCCACCGCCCCUGCUUCUUACCGCCGCGCCGGCCUCUCCGGCCUCGAUCCGCGCACAGCGUGCAAUGGCAAUGGCCUUGCUCAGGGGCUCAGCUGAGGUUGGUGUGACCUUUGAGGACAUUGCCCUGUACUUCUCCAGGGAGGAAUGGAGCCUCCUUGAUGAGGGUCAGAGACAGCUGUACCUGAAUGUGAUGCUGGAGAACUUUGAACUUGUAUCCUCCCUGGCAGUGUGUUAAGGAUUCACAGUCUCCACAUCCUAGAGAAUAAUUUGUUCGGUCAAUCAUAAUUUAUUUAAACUCUUUUUUUUUUAUAAUUUUGUCAUGCUACCUCACUGUUUGUAUUUUUUCUUCGAAUUUAUGGUGAACCUUUUCUCUGAAGUGCAUUUGCUGAGUCUGUAUCUUUGUUAAAACAUCUUAUCGUAUGUUCUGUUUAUUGUGUUAUGAGUUCUGGCAAUUUUCUUUAAAGUUAGGACAGUGGAACAACAAAGAUGGAUGUUGGAA